GUAGCUGCUCCAGAUCUUGUCGUCCCUGUACUGGUUGAUGAAGGCGGCGGUGCCAGUGGAGUUGCAAGCCACCAUGUGGAAGCCCGCCUCGGAGAGCCGGUCGAAGGCUUGCUCCAGACACCCCCAGUGCAUCCUAACGUGUUCACACAGCUGCCUCCACUGCUUGUCAUGGGACUCCUUGAGGCUGAACAUGACUCCAGAGAACAUGAGGAAAAGCACCUGCAGACUCAAGCAGCUCUGAUGAACUGCCUGGAAGUGAAAAGGAAACAAUUAAAUGGAGGAAAACAUUAUUUACCCUUCUUCCUGGUUUCUACCAUUAUACUACAUUACAAGAGGGUUCAAGACUCAGGAAUAAAUAUUGACCUAUGAGAACGCAAGGCACAGACUGUAUAUGCAUUUGCAAGUGUGUUGCAGAGGAUCAGAGGAUAAAAGCAAAUUUAAUCUUUUUUAUUAAUUAAUCAGCUGCAAAUCUGCUUCUUGUAACUGUCAGCAUUCCAUUAUCUGCUUUCUAGGAAUCAACUUCCUAUUGAUAUUAAUGAGAAUUAUGUGAGCUUAGUUAUGAUGACAUUAAUUUUUAUAUAAAAACAUUUAUCUGUUCUAAGUAAUUGAACUGUAGUUUUCUAGGAUGUGCGUGUGCCCUUUUUUCAACAAUAGAUUUAUCUAUGGUUUGCAGGAAUGCUUGCUAAAUACAAUAUGGUAUUUAUUUCAACAUACAAAGUGGCCAAUCCUUUUUUUCCUUAGUAUUUUCAUCACUUGGAACAGCUUAAUUCUGAUUAUGUGAUACACUUCUACCUCAUUGAAAUGUUCUCAUAUGAAAAAUUUCCUUGUGUAGAAAAUGGAACUACAGAUGCAAAGUGGGUUUUUUUCAGUGACUCAUCUAUUUCUACUCAUUUCUAAAACAAAUUGUUAUUACCUAGAGUAAAUCCCUAACCACACCUUAUACCUAUGUUGUCCUAAAGUUGGGCUAAUUUGGAAUCUUGAUUUCUGCUGUAAAUGGAUGGGGGGAUAACUGUGUUAAUUGUUCAACAGGCUCAGAUAAAUUUUUACCAGGUAUUACCAGUAUAGUAACGGUAUAGGGAAAAAGAAGUCAGGAUUGCACCAAAACUUAACCAUCCAAGUGUUUCUUGCUUAUUUAACGUGGGAAACAACAUCCUCAUGAAAUCUGUUUUGUACUCGCAGCCGGAUGAUAUCUCCCUGGUCCACAGAGGAAUGUAUAGCUCUUACAUUCCCUUCCUUAUGCAGGCACAUGUAUGACAAUCUUCCAUCUUGUUUUAAUCAGAGGAAAAUUCAGGCAAAAAAAGAAGCAAGACUAAAAUCUAUUUUAAUCUACUGCAGUGAUUAAAAGGUAAAGUUAUAGUUAAUGGUAUUUUGUUUUGAGGAAGGUUGUUACAGCAGUCAAAAGACACGCACAACUAUAUAUCAUAGAGCACCACCACAUCUAGCAAAAAAAGCUUGAUGCUGCCAGCUUCCUGGUGAAAAUCCCUCUUAAAUCAUAAUAAAAGACUAAAUCCCUAGCAUAAUACUUUCUGACAAGAAAAAUACAGCCUGCCAGUAUCCUGCCUUAGCUGGGAGGUAGGGAAGAUUUCAUUCACUCUUUAUCAGUGUUUAUGUCCAUGCCCUUUCUGUACAGAUGGAAAUGUAGUGAAGCAGAAGCUUUUUGGGAAAUAGAAGCAGGCUGGCAAAGACUUGCACCAAGAUAUGAAAAUAAAAGGCUCAGUCCUAUGUGUUAGAAAUGACAAUGCAAAGUAGCUCCAAAUCUGGAAUGAAUCUUUCACUUUUUCAAGUGCUGUUAGUUUGUUGGUUGUUUGUGGGGGUUUUUUUCCACAGUUUCUAGUCUUGAAUACUUAUUAAUAAAAGUUCUUAAUCACAUGACUGUCUUGUAUUUCAGUUACAUAAUGAAUGGAUAGCUGACCAAGGAGAAAGAAAACUAAGAUGUAAAUUAUUGUUUCUGAAGGUUUGUUGAACUUUUACAAGACUGUUUAAUGUGCCGGUGUCAGCGCUGGCUUCUACCAUGUAUUCUUCUGGCUCCUGUACUAAUAAAUGAUGUCUCCGGAGGGAUUGACACAGUAUGCACUCGGAUAAGAGAGGAUGUUUUGUUUUCUAUUAAAUAUGGCAUAUCUCUGCAGUCUUUCAGAAGUGUGUAUAUCAAAAUAUUGGAAACAAUAAAUGAAAUACGUAAAUGUUUGCACCCAAACAUACAUAAGUACUUUUUCUUGAAGACUAAACAAAUCAUGGUUCCAUAAAAAAAGGCAAGAAGAAAACCCUCAGAUCCCUCUACACAGGCCUACAGUCUCAAAGUCAAUGUUUUGAAAAUGCAGCUAAGCUUGACAGGAAAGCAAGAAAGAAAAGACAAUAU
Molecule: long non-coding RNA, 2356 nt
Organism: Neopelma chrysocephalum (saffron-crested tyrant-manakin)
Lineage: Eukaryota; Metazoa; Chordata; Aves; Passeriformes; Pipridae
Exons: 3
Source: RefSeq, a predicted model, not a curated record